This 387-nucleotide ribosomal RNA is filed under the name uncultured bacterium. Its description in RNAcentral is "bacterial SSU rRNA". It matches the Rfam family "Bacterial small subunit ribosomal RNA", at positions 30 to 420 of the family's 1533-position model. The record is from RNAcentral.
AUUGAACGCUGGCGGCAUGCCUUACACAUGCAAGUCGAACGGCAGCACGGGGCAACCUGGUGGCGAGUGGCGAACGGGUGAGUAAUGCAUCGGAACGUGCCAUUGAGUGGGGGAUAACGUAGCGAAAGUUGCGCUAAUACCGCAUAUUCUGUGAGCAGGAAAGCAGGGGACCGCAAGGCCUUGCGCUCUUUGAGCGGCCGAUGUCAGAUUAGCUAGUUGGUGAGGUAACGGCUUACCAAGGCGACGAUCUGUAGCGGGUCUGAGAGGAUGAUCCGCCACACUGGAACUGAGACACGGUCCAGACUCCUACGGAGGCAGCAGUGGGGAAUUUUGGACAAUGGGCGCAAGCCUGAUCCAGCCAUGCCGCGUGAGUGAAGAAGGCCUCGG